GAUGAAGAACGCAGCGAAAUGCGAUAAGUAAUGUGAAUUGCAGAAUUCAGUGAAUCAUCGAAUCUUUGAACGCACAUUGCGCCCGCCAGUAUUCUGGCGGGCAUGCCUGUUCGAGCGUCAUUUCAACCAUCAAGCCCCCGGGCUUGUGUUGGGGACCUGCGGCUGCCGCAGGCCCUGAAAAGCAGUGGCGGGCUCGCUGUCACACCGAGCGUAGUAGAUUUUAUCUCGCUCAGGGCGUGCUGCGGGUUCCGGCCGUUAAACCACCUUCAUAACCCAAGGUUGACCUCGGAUCAGGUAGGAAGACCCGCUGAACUUAAGCAUAUCAAAAGCGGAGGA
This 336-nucleotide unclassified non-coding RNA is filed under the name soil metagenome. Its description in RNAcentral is "partial contains 5.8S ribosomal RNA, internal transcribed spacer 2, and large subunit ribosomal RNA". The stretch from base 1 to 120 matches the Rfam family "5.8S ribosomal RNA", at positions 35 to 154 of the family's 154-position model. The record is from RNAcentral.